ACCGUUUUGCAUACAAGAGGAUAAAAACCAUUUAGGGAUAUUCCCCUUUUCAGAUACACAGGCAGCUACUGCAAUCACCAAUCUCCCGAACUGCAACCACACGAAUUCACCAAUCUCCCGAACUGCAAACACAUGACUUCACCAAUCUCCCGAACUGCAAACAUAUGAAAACUCCAACUCCCGAACAGGAAACACACGAAUGCUGUAAACAGCCGAACAGGAAAAACCAUCCGAACAGUUUACACUCCUGGCAGUUGCACUGUAACAGCAUACAAUCCAAUUCCCCCCAAGAACGAGACAACACUUCG
Pelobates cultripes (western spadefoot toad) is the source of this 308-nucleotide non-coding RNA. NCBI's taxonomy places the organism in Eukaryota, Metazoa, Chordata, Amphibia, Anura, Pelobatidae. The record is from the annotation of a GenBank genome assembly.